This 29-nucleotide non-coding RNA is filed under the name Rattus norvegicus (Norway rat). Lineage: Eukaryota; Metazoa; Chordata; Mammalia; Rodentia; Muridae. The record is from RNAcentral.
UGCAAUUUGCUGCUACUUGAUUUUUUGUU